Molecule: ribosomal RNA, 476 nt
Filed under: Priestia megaterium
Lineage: Bacteria; Bacillati; Bacillota; Bacilli; Caryophanales; Bacillaceae
Description: bacterial SSU rRNA
Rfam family: Bacterial small subunit ribosomal RNA
Source: RNAcentral
CGAAAGCGUCGGGGAGCAAACAGGAUUAGAUACCCUGGUAGUCCACGCCGUAAACGAUGAGUGCUAAGUGUUAGAGGGUUUUCCGCCCUUUUAGUGCUGCAGCUAACGCAUUAAGCACUCCGCCUGGGGAGUACGGUCGCAAGACUGAAACUCAAAGGAAUUGACGGGGGCCCGCACAAGCGGUGGAGCAUGUGGUUUAAUUCGAAGCAACGCGAAGAACCUUACCAGGUCUUGACAUCCUCUGACAACUCUAGAGAUAGAGCGUUCCCCUUCGGGGGACAGAGUGACAGGUGGUGCAUGGUUGUCGUCAGCUCGUGUCGUGAGAUGUUGGGUUAAGUCCCGCAACGAGCGCAACCCUUGAUCUUAGUUGCCAGCAUUUAGUUGGGCACUCUAAGGUGACUGCCGGUGACAAACCGGAGGAAGGUUGGGAUGACGUCAAAUCAUCAUGCCCCUUAUGACCUGGGCUACACACGUGC